RNAcentral lists this transfer RNA (97 nucleotides) under Pyrenochaeta sp. DS3sAY3a. It matches the Rfam family "tRNA". From Rfam's summary of the family: Transfer RNA (tRNA) molecules are approximately 80 nucleotides in length. Lineage: Eukaryota; Fungi; Ascomycota; Dothideomycetes; Pleosporales; Cucurbitariaceae. The record is from Rfam by way of RNAcentral.
UCCGAUAUGGUCUAGUGGCUAGGAUUUGCCGCUCUCAUUCAGAGUCUGUUCACUUAACAGUGCCGGCAAGGCCCGGGUUCGAUUCCCGGUGUCGGAA